GUUGCUGCAGAAUAGCAAGCCUAUCACUCACAAUGGCCAGAAAUCAGAACAAAUGAUCAUUACAAACAACCCAUGUAGACAGUUUUCUAUCGUAAGGCAGUGAUUUUUGAGUCCAUAGAUGGGCCAGUAGGAAGUCUACACUGAAAUCAGCAUUGUGCCUGAUACUGAGAGGAAUAAAGUUGAUAGGAAGGAGCAAUCAGAAAGCUUUGGCUGAAAAGAAUGAUUUAAACCACUGGAGAAAAC
RNAcentral lists this long non-coding RNA (243 nucleotides) under Homo sapiens (human). RNAcentral describes it as "HSALNT0203812". The record is from RNAcentral. Lineage: Eukaryota; Metazoa; Chordata; Mammalia; Primates; Hominidae.